UACGGGGGGGGCAAGCGUUGUUCGGAAUUAUUGGGCGUAAAGAGCUCGUAGGCGGUUUGUCGCGUCUGCCGUGAAAGUCCGGGGCUCAACUCCGGAUCUGCGGUGGGUACGGGCAGACUAGAGUGAUGUAGGGGAGACUGGAAUUCCUGGUGUAGCGGUGAAAUGCGCAGAUAUCAGGAGGAACACCGAUGGCGAAGGCGGGUCUCUGGGCCGAUACUGACGCUGAGGAGCGAAAGCGUGGGGAGCGAACAGG
RNAcentral lists this ribosomal RNA (253 nucleotides) under uncultured bacterium. Its description in RNAcentral is "partial 16S ribosomal RNA". It matches the Rfam family "Bacterial small subunit ribosomal RNA", at positions 524 to 776 of the family's 1533-position model. The record is from RNAcentral.